This 252-nucleotide ribosomal RNA is filed under the name uncultured bacterium. RNAcentral describes it as "partial 16S ribosomal RNA". It matches the Rfam family "Bacterial small subunit ribosomal RNA", at positions 524 to 776 of the family's 1533-position model. The record is from RNAcentral.
UACGGGGGGGCAAGCGUUGUUCGGAAUUACUGGGCGUAAAGGGCGCGUAGGCGGUUCGCUAAGUUGGAUGUGAAAACUCUGGGCUCAACCCAGAGCCUGCAUCCAAAACUGGCGGGCUAGAGUUCUGGAGGGGGUAGCGGAAUUCCUGGUGUAGCGGUGAAAUGCGCAGAUAUCAGGAGGAACACCGGUGGCGAAGGCGGGUCUCUGGGCCGAUACUGACGCUGAGGAGCGAAAGCGUGGGGAGCGAACAGG